UACGUAGGGGGCAAGCGUUGUCCGGAUUUAUUGGGCGUAAAGAGCGUGUAGGCGGCCAGGUAGGUCUGCUGUGAAAACUCGAGGCUUAACCUCGAGCUGUCGGCGGAAACCAUCUGGCUAGAGUCCGGAAGAGGAGAAUGGAAUUCCUGGUGUAGCGGUGAAAUGCGUAGAUAUCUGGAGGAACACCGGUGGCGAAGGCGGCAUCCUGGACCGACACUGACACUGAGGAGCGAAAGCCAGGGGAGCAAACGGG
Molecule: ribosomal RNA, 253 nt
Filed under: uncultured bacterium
Lineage: Bacteria
Description: partial 16S ribosomal RNA
Rfam family: Bacterial small subunit ribosomal RNA
Source: RNAcentral